UGGGGAAUCUUGCACAAUGGGCGAAAGCCUGAUGCAGCCAUGCCGCGUGAAUGAUGAAGGCCUUAGGGUUGUAAAAUUCUUUCGCUAGGGAUGAUAAUGACAGUACCUAGUAAAGAAGCCCCGGCUAACUUCGUGCCAGCAGCCGCGGUAAUACGAAGGGGGCUAGCGUUGUUCGGAAUUACUGGGCGUAAAGCGCACGUAGGCGGACUUUUAAGUCAGAUGUGAAAUCCCGAGGCUCAACCUCGGAACUGCAUUUGAAACUGGAAGUCUAGAGACCAGGAGAGGUUAGCGGAAUACCGAGUGUAGAGGUGAAAUUCGUAGAUAUUCGGUGGAACACCAGUGGCGAAGGCGGCUAACUGGACUGGUACUGACGCUGAGGUGCGAAAGUGUGGGGAGCAAACAGGAUUAGAUACCCUGGUAGUCCACACCGUAAACGAUGAGAGCUAGUUGUUGGCAGGCAUGCCUGUCGGUGACGCAGCUAACGCAUUAAGCUCUCCGCCUGGGGAGUACGGCCGCAAGGUUA
RNAcentral lists this ribosomal RNA (523 nucleotides) under uncultured bacterium. RNAcentral describes it as "bacterial SSU rRNA". It matches the Rfam family "Bacterial small subunit ribosomal RNA", at positions 355 to 896 of the family's 1533-position model. The record is from RNAcentral.